AUGGCUUUGCAUUGGCAGUUUGUGUAAUGGUCUCCGCAUUAGUUUUUAUAGGUUUGGCGGAUAUGUUUCUGACUGGAAGAGCUUCAAAGAAGUAAACCAGAGCGUCCUCAAGCUCGAGAGUGUCUGUAUAAUUAGGUCAAGCAGAAGGCAUGUGAACCAAGUCACG
Long non-coding RNA from Brassica oleracea var. oleracea, 166 nucleotides. RefSeq lists it as uncharacterized. The record is from RefSeq and is a predicted model, not a curated record. Lineage: Eukaryota; Viridiplantae; Streptophyta; Magnoliopsida; Brassicales; Brassicaceae. The transcript has 3 exons.